This 67-nucleotide transfer RNA is filed under the name Olisthops cyanomelas (herring cale). RNAcentral describes it as "tRNA-Cys". The record is from RNAcentral. Lineage: Eukaryota; Metazoa; Chordata; Actinopteri; Labriformes; Odacidae.
AGUCCGGAGGUGUCAAGACACGCUGAAUUGCAAAUUCAGAGUGGCUGAGUGAAAUCAGCCCGGACUU